GACGAACGCUGGCGGCGUGCUUAACACAUGCAAGUCGAACGGAAAGGCCCUGCUUGCAGGGUACUCGAGUGGCGAACGGGUGAGUAACACGUGGGUGAUCUGCCCUGCACUUCGGGAUAAGCCUGGGAAACUGGGUCUAAUACCGGAUAGGAGCCAUUUUUAGUGUGAUGGUUGGAAAGUUUUUUCGGUGUAGGAUGAGCUCGCGGCCUAUCAGCUUGUUGGUGGGGUAAUAGCCUACCAAGGCGGCGACGGGUAGCCGGCCUGAGAGGGUGGACGGCCACAUUGGGACUGAGAUACGGCCCAGACGCCUACGGGAGGCAGCAGUGGGGAAUAUUGCACAAUGGGCGCAAGCCUGAUGCAGCGACGCCGCGUGGGGGAUGACGGCCUUCGGGUUGUAAACUCCUUUCGCUAGGGACGAAGCUUUUUGUGACGGUACCUAGAGAAGAAGCACCGGCUAACUACGUG
RNAcentral lists this ribosomal RNA (465 nucleotides) under uncultured bacterium. RNAcentral's name for it is "partial 16S ribosomal RNA". It matches the Rfam family "Bacterial small subunit ribosomal RNA", at positions 28 to 507 of the family's 1533-position model. The record is from RNAcentral.